Molecule: ribosomal RNA, 254 nt
Filed under: uncultured bacterium
Lineage: Bacteria
Description: partial 16S ribosomal RNA
Rfam family: Bacterial small subunit ribosomal RNA
Source: RNAcentral
CACGUAGGGUGCGAGCGUUGUCCGGAAUUAUUGGGCGUAAAGAGCUCGUAGGCGGUGUGUCGCGUCGGCCGUGAAAACCUGUGGCUUAACUAUGGGCUUGCGGUCGAUACGGGCAUCACUGGAGUUCGGCAGGGGAGACUGGAAUUCCUGGUGUAGCGGUGAAAUGCGCAGAUAUCAGGGGGAACACCGGUGGCGAAGGCGGGUCUCUGGGCCGAUACUGACGCUGAGGAGCGAAAGCGUGGGGAGCGAACAGG